UUCUAUAUAGGUUCUCUUUUUUUUUAAUACAAUUUUUUUUAUAUGAUUAGAUGUUUUAGAGAAUGAAGUUUUUUAUGUUUGUUAUGAUUGGUUAACUUGUAGAUUGCCUAAAUCAUAUGCGAAACAAGGAGUCAGCACCAUGCAAAUCUUAUAUAUAUAUAUAUAGAGUCCGGCUAUUAUGCUAUCGGUAGCACGGAGUGCUCCGUGCUACCAAGUUGUUUUCGAUGAUGCAGCUUCCAAAUCGACGAUCGGCUCCGUUAGACUUGAUCUACACUAUUGAAAGUAUUUGGAAACUAAAUUUCAGAUUUUUUCGACAUCAUUUGACUAGUGAUCAAAAGAUCUCAAAAUUGACAAUUUUAAUGGCCGAUGUGGUGUGUUUGUGAGUUUAACGGUGUAAAACAAUCUAAAUGCGAUGAAAAUUUUAUAGAAAAUUCUUUUCACUAUUUAGAGUAAGAUCAGUAUAUCUGAUCUUGAAUUUAAAUUUUUUAUCAUCAUUUUUN
This 500-nucleotide long non-coding RNA is filed under the name Ananas comosus (pineapple). RNAcentral describes it as "long non-coding RNA (ACOM_LNC002758)". The record is from RNAcentral. Lineage: Eukaryota; Viridiplantae; Streptophyta; Magnoliopsida; Poales; Bromeliaceae.